GAUGAAGAACGUAGCGAAAUGCGAUAAGUAAUGUGAAUUGCAGAAUUCAGUGAAUCAUCGAAUCUUUGAACGCACAUUGCGCCCGCCAGUAUUCUGGCGGGCAUGCCUGUUCGAGCGUCAUUUCAACCAUCAAGCCCCAGGCUUGUGUUGGGGACCUGCGGCUGCCGCAGGCCCUGAAAACCAGUGGCGGGCUCGCUGUCACACCGGGCGUAGUAGAUUUUAUCUCGCUCAGGGCGUGCUGCGGGUCCCGGCCGUUAAAAGCCUUUUUUUACCCAAGGUUGACCUCGGAUCAGGUAGGAAGACCCGCUGAACUUAAGCAUAUCAUAAGCGGAGGA
Molecule: unclassified non-coding RNA, 335 nt
Filed under: soil metagenome
Description: partial contains 5.8S ribosomal RNA, internal transcribed spacer 2, and large subunit ribosomal RNA
Rfam family: 5.8S ribosomal RNA (bases 1-120)
Source: RNAcentral